CUUUCCAUUUAUUUGCUGCUCUGGUCGCUCAAUGCCAUGAGCAGUUAUAGGCAUGGGAUAAAAUAAUAUUGAGCCAUUGUAAAUGGAGAUGGAACAGUGUCAUUUCUCCUACAUGGUCUAGACAUUG
Molecule: small nucleolar RNA, 127 nt
Organism: Oryctolagus cuniculus (rabbit)
Lineage: Eukaryota; Metazoa; Chordata; Mammalia; Lagomorpha; Leporidae
Source: Ensembl